AUUUAAAAAGAAACUGAAAUUUCAAACUAAUUAGUAGUUAUUGCUUUUUUAUAAGUUAAUUAAAAAAAAUUUAUAAGGAUAUAAGUAAUAGUGUACCUUUUGCACAAGGGUCCAACAAGUUAAUUUAUAUAGCAAGUCAAAAUGAGACGUAAAGAAAUUAAGUUUGAAAAAAUAGCUAAUAGUUAUAUGAAUUAAACCCGAAACCAAAAGGAUUUAAACCGUGAACAAGCCGAAAAUAAGUUUUAUUGGAGGGCUGAACCAAUAUUUGUUGCAAUAAAUUUGGAUGAUUUACGGUUCGGAGUGAAAAGCUAAUCGACUUUGUUGAUAGCUGGUUUUCUGCGAAAACUAUUUAGGUAGUGUGUUAUUAAUAAAUAAUAAAUUAGGUAAAGUACUUAUUAAUCUAGG
Molecule: ribosomal RNA, 405 nt
Filed under: uncultured bacterium
Lineage: Bacteria
Description: partial 23S ribosomal RNA
Rfam family: Bacterial large subunit ribosomal RNA
Source: RNAcentral